AUUGAACGCUGGCGGCAUGCUUAAUACAUGCAAGUCGAACGGAAACAGGCCGCAAUUUGCUGACGAGUGGUGGACGGGUGAGUAAUGCUACGGAAUGGGCCCAGUCGUUGUGGGUAUCUACUCACAAGAGUAGCUAAUACCGCAUACGAUCUAUUGUUUUAAACGGGGGACCUCAAUGCCUCGCGCCAUUUUUGCUGUCGAUGUCAGAUUAGCUAGUUGGUCAGGUAAAGGCUCACCAAGUCAACGAUCUGUAGCUGGUCUGAGAGUACGACCAGCCACACUGGAACUGAGACACGGCCCAGACUCCUACGGGAGGCAGCAGUGGGGAAUUUUCGGCAAUGGGCGCAAGCCUGAUGCAGCAAUGCCGCGUGCAGGAAGAAGGCCUUCGGGUUGUAAAAUGCUUUUGUACGGAAAGAAACGGUGCUGAUUAAUACACGGAGGUAAUGACGGUACCGAAAGAAAAAGCACCGGCUAACUACGUG
This 482-nucleotide ribosomal RNA is filed under the name uncultured bacterium. RNAcentral describes it as "partial 16S ribosomal RNA". It matches the Rfam family "Bacterial small subunit ribosomal RNA", at positions 30 to 507 of the family's 1533-position model. The record is from RNAcentral.